Long non-coding RNA from Quercus robur (English oak), 3995 nucleotides. RefSeq lists it as uncharacterized. NCBI's taxonomy places the organism in Eukaryota, Viridiplantae, Streptophyta, Magnoliopsida, Fagales, Fagaceae. The transcript is spliced from 3 exons. The record is from RefSeq and is a predicted model, not a curated record.
GUGAAAAAAUCUCACUGGGAAUAUUUUUUGGUGCUUGGCAGCUUAAGGCUUGAUGUUGUUGUUGUUGGCGGCUUAAGUGAUGGAGUUUAGUUUGGUGAUAAGCAAUAUUUUCUUUCCCCCUUGUUUUCUUUAUUCUCUCCUUCAAUCAUAUGAAUUAUAAGCCACUAAAGGUUUGAGCUUUCUACAUCCGUUUGGUCAUCCUAUGUUGGGAGUUUCAUAUCCAAUUUGGUUUGCCACUUAUUAUCUUUCUACCGAAUGCAGCAUUUUUUUUUUUAAUUAUUAUUUUUGUGGUAUGCCACUCAAGCAGUGGAGUCUGAUUUGGCAAUAGGCUCUCUUUUCCUCCCUUUUUAUGUUACUUCCUUUUCCUCUACUACAAUCAAAAGAAUUUGAAGGAUAAUUUUUUCUUGUUUUAAUGCCUUUCUAAUAGGGUGUGUGAAUGCUUUUCCUAGGAGAGUUACAAGUUCUAGUAUUUAUAAAAAUAAAAAAAGUUCUAGUCUUCUGAAUGAUGUUUUGAAACUUCUAUUGUAAUUUUUGUUCCUUGCUGUCUCAUUUUAUUUUUGGUCAUUUUGUGUUGGCAACCUCAGUAAUGAUAUCCAGUUUAAGCCAGUGAUGUCUCUUAUUGGUGUGGAGCAGUAAUAUAGCCAUGUGUAAUCUGAAUUUGGUUGUAGCAGUAAAACGAUACAGGUUUUGCUUUCUCUUCUCUUUGCAGUAGUUGGACUUUUUGGGAAUUACAAGGAAUUCACUUUAUAUUUCUUGAUUUGCAUCAUAAUUUGUUAAGUUGGAUUGUUGUUGAUUCUUUUCCGUGUCACCAAAUAUCUGGCAACAGGGAAGAGCUAGGCUUUCAGUGUUAUAAGUAUUUAUCUUUAUAUUUGUUGGAUUAUUUUUAUACCGAAAUAUAGUAGUUCAUUUUAUUCGUUGUUUUGAAGUUCUUAGUGCAUGUUAAAAAUCUAUUCCUUAUAAAUCUACAGGAACCGGUAUUUUCUUUUUGGGUACUUAGCAGAAGUGGUUGAGUUUGAUAUAGUGAUAAGCUCUCUUUUUGUCCCACUUUCAUCUGUCUCUUGUCAUAAGAAUUAUACAAUUUUUGGCUCUUUUAAUUCUUUAUAAUAUUGGGGCCUGCUUCUGUUAGGCUUAGCUUUUUUGGGCAGCCAUAAAUUCAAUGUCCCACCUGGUGAGGGUUUGAAAUUUCCCUAGCAAUUAUAUUUCCUCUGUCCUGUCUUGUUUAAUUUUUUUCUCAUUCAAUCUGAAGAUGGUAAUGCCUCUUAUUGUUGUGGGGCAGGAAAAUUAACAAAGUUUGUAACCGAUGUUUGCCAGGGAAAAAUAAUUCAGGCUUUUGCUUUAUCCUGUUAUGAUUUGCAUGUGUUGGGCUUUGUAGGAAUGACAUGGAUCAAAUUUAUGUCUCUAGAAUUGCAUUAUAUCUUGUAACCUUAGAUUGUUGCUGACUGCUUUCCUUGUCGUAGAAAGUGAGUGGGCAGAUACUGUCAAUAUCAAAUCAGGUUCAUUUUCAGUCUGAAGUUUUUGUUAUUUCUGGUCUCAUAUUUGAGCACUGAUUGACAUGUUUCUUUAUAAGCUGUAGAUGUCCAUCUUGUUGUUUUGUGUGGACAAUGUUGAUUAUUUUAAUCUUGAUCUAUCUACAUCAGGGGAAAUUGAGUUGGACUUUCUUGUACUUAAGCAGCUGAGGUUGUAUAAAAGUCUUUACUUUUUUUUUGAACUUGGCUGCGUGUUGACUGCAACAAUAAGAAAGAUCUUUUUUUUUUUUUUUUUUUUUGGGUUCUUGAAUUUCACAUUUUGCUUAUAUGUCCUUAGUAUAGUGUUCCCACUAACAUGAUACUAUACUAUUCCUGGUUCAAUUUACUUAUAGGUUUUGGUCCUCGACAGCCCUGUGAAGGCAUUUGUUUCUGUGAAGUUGGCUUUUCUAGAUCGAUUUGGUUCUUGUCUGUUGGAGCACAUUCCCUUAUUGUUGGCUGGCUGGUAAUGAUAAGUUUAAAAAUUCAAUUAACAUUGUAAACGAAAAUUGUUGCUUGCAUUGUGUGUUUUUCAGGCUUCAUUUGUUUGGUUUUAACUAAUUACAGAACUACUUAGCAUUUUUUUCCUGGUUCCUUUCUCUAUUGCUGUCUACUUGCACUUCUUACUACUUUUAAGAACCUAAGGUCUUCAAUAUCAUCAUUGGGCAGUCGUAUAAGAUAAAAGCAGCCAGCUUCAAACAUGGUUGUUUUGAACGUCAUCAAUUCUAGUCGUUUUUGCAACUUUUGCAAUUUUGGGUCCAGGUGAAAAAUUCUCACUGGAUUUUUUUUGGUGCCAGGCACCUCAAGCAGUAGAGUUUGGUUUGGCGAUGAGCUUCCUUUUUCCUCCCUUGUUUUCUUUAUUCUAUGCUACAAUCAAAUGAAUUAUAAGGAUAUUUUUCCAAUUGUUCUAAUUCCUUCUAAUGCUUGGGACAUGUAUGCAUUUCUUAGGAUUUGGUUUCCUUGAGGAUUAUAAAUUCCAGUCACACUCAAUGAGGGUUUGAAACUUUCAUUGGAAUUCUUGUCCCCUUGUCCUGCUGACUCAUUCGAUUUUGAGUCAUUAUGUUUUGGCAAGCUGAUAUAUGAUUUUUUUGUAGUAGUUUCAUUUAUUGGUGUGGGCAGAUCACGUGCCGUGGUGAUUGGCAUGAGUUGGGCCUUCUGGGCAUUACAUGAAGAAUUUGCAUCAUAAUCUGUAAUCUUAAGGUUAUUGAAGAUUGAUUUCCUCAUCAUAGAAAGUGAGUUGGCAGAUCUUGUCAAUAUUGAACCAAGUUGUUAGUCUGAAGUCUUUGUUAGUAACACAUGCUUCUUUAUAAGCUGGUGAUGAUCUCUUUGUGGUUUUAUGAACACAUGUUGAUAAUUUUUAUUUUGAUUGUUUACUGCAGGCAAAACUGAUUUUGACUUGUAUUUAUCUUGUAGAGAUAAUUUCUUUGAAAGAAAGUUUUUAUGGCAACUUCUGCAAUUUUGAGUGUGUGUUAAAAUCUCAAUCCUAACGUGUCUACAGGAAGCAGAAUUUUUUUUUGGACUUAUGGAGGAAGUUAGAUUCUGCAAUAAGAUCUCUUUUCCUCCUGUUAGUGUCUGCCUCUGAUGGUUUGAAACUUCAUUGAAAUUCUUUUCCUUUUGUAAUACAGUCUUGUUUAGUUUUGAUCAUUCUGUUUGGGACAACUCAUCUCUUAUUUGUAUGGGUCAGGUAGAUUGACAGUGAUGGUGAUCCAAAUUUGGUUGUGGAGGUAGAAUAAUACUGGUUUUUGCUUUGCCCUGUGAUUGGCAAUAAUUUGGCUUUAUAAUAUAUCCGAUCUGCAUGCUUUUUAAAGACUUGCUGUUCUCUAAAUGCCUGAGAAGUGUAGAUUCCUCUUAUUGGUGUGGGGCAAGUAGAUUGAUGCUGACGCUUUUGUUGCCAAGGGAGAAUUAUAUAGGUUAUUGGUUUGUCCUGUAAUUGCCAUUAGUUGGGGUUUUCUGUUAAUGAAAAAAAUGCUUUUAACUUACGUAUUUGAAUUUUGCAUCAUUAUUCAUAAAAUAUGUUGCUGAUUGAUUUCCAAUUCAAAGAAAAUGAAUGAGCAGAUGCCAUCAAGACUUCUUUAUAAGUUGAUGUUUAUUUUGUGGUUGUGACGACUACUUUCCUAGCUCCUACAAUUGUUUUGUAUGUUGAAACAAAAAUGUUUGAUUAUUUAAACUUUAUAUGUAUGCGGGAGGGGAAAUUGUGAUUUGGGCUUUCUUGUACUUGAGCAACAAAGUCUUUGUAAAAGUCUUGCUUAAAGAUGGUGCUUGAGCUGUGUAAUUGAAUGCGACAAUUGAAAACUCCUUUUUUUCUUUCGUCUUCGUUCUUCUCUUAUUAAUCUUUUGAUAUACUCUUCCUCGAAUGUGUUUACUAUUCCUGGUUGUUCAAUUUGUUUUAUAGAUUUCGGUGCUAGGCUACUUUUCAAGGCAUUUUUUGCAGCAAAUUUGGCAUCUAGAUCGACAGUAAUUUACUCUUUAACUCGCAUUAAAAAAAAGGUAAUU